CUGCAACGAGGGAUAAACUCCGUAACCGAUAGACCUCCUUCCCUCGGCUUCUGGGGCAAGAUACACGUCAGGAGAAGGAAGACAAAAUCUUCCCACACAACAGAAAUAAUACACCACUACUGAAAGAAGUAAGGGAGCUGGACAGAGGCAGCUCAGCAUUCCAGAGAAACAAUAUUACAAGAGCACCACCAAGGACUUCCAAAUACAACAUCUGCUGCUAAAGUUCUGGUGAGUUUGUACGACCACAUUAAAGAACCCCUGAGAUAGGAAAAGAACCAAUACACUAUUUACAGCGGUGUUAGUGUUCCCAGACUUCCCUUCUGAGAAAUUAUUUACAGACAAGACAGACUUACUAAGAGUUACGGAAAGAGUAAAGCUGCUCUAGCCCCACUGAGGGACCUUGGACCUGUGGCCGGCUGUGGGUGGUGUUAAGAAGACUUCCUCACGACACUCAAGAACACACACAAGGCCUCCAAAAGUCAACACAGAACAACUUGAGGUGCAAUAAACACACACAGCUCUAUUGACGGAGCCACCGGCGGGGACGCAAGGGAAGCCAGAAGCGGGACUUUUUCUUGCAGGGAACACCGAGCCUGGCAGACCUGGACACCCUCACUAAGGG
Molecule: long non-coding RNA, 622 nt
Organism: Eriocheir sinensis (Chinese mitten crab)
Lineage: Eukaryota; Metazoa; Arthropoda; Malacostraca; Decapoda; Varunidae
Exons: 3
Source: RefSeq, a predicted model, not a curated record